This 85-nucleotide transfer RNA is filed under the name Parancistrus aurantiacus. RNAcentral describes it as "partial transfer RNA-Pro". Lineage: Eukaryota; Metazoa; Chordata; Actinopteri; Siluriformes; Loricariidae. The record is from RNAcentral.
AAAUCCUUCCUAGUGCCAGAAAAGAGAGAUUUCAACUCCCACCCCUAACUCCCAAAGCUAGAAUUCUAAACUAAACUAUUUUCUG